CGAACGGGUGAGUAAUACAUCGGAACGUGCCCAGUUGUGGGGGAUAGCCCGGCGAAAGCCGGAUUAAUACCGCAUACGACCUACGGGUGAAAGCGGGGGAUCGCAAGACCUCGCGCAAUUGGAGCGGCCGAUGGCAGAUUAGCUUGUUGGUGGGGUAAAAGCCCACCAAGGCGACGAUCUGUAGCUGGUCUGAGAGGACGACCAGCCACACUGGGACUGAGACACGGCCCAG
This 232-nucleotide ribosomal RNA is filed under the name uncultured bacterium. Its description in RNAcentral is "partial 16S ribosomal RNA". It matches the Rfam family "Bacterial small subunit ribosomal RNA", at positions 99 to 334 of the family's 1533-position model. The record is from RNAcentral.